Molecule: long non-coding RNA, 2308 nt
Organism: Phycodurus eques (leafy seadragon)
Lineage: Eukaryota; Metazoa; Chordata; Actinopteri; Syngnathiformes; Syngnathidae
Exons: 3
Source: RefSeq, a predicted model, not a curated record
CUCAGGUGCAGCUGGUCUCGUGUGAUCCGCUCGAGCUGCCGGCCGGAUGAGGAGGAGGCGACCCAGGAAACGAGGAGGGUGGGCUGUCACGACUGCACGUCCUCAUAGAGACAGCCGGUUAUCUGUGAGCAUUUGCAGAUUUAUGUGCCGAACUUGACUUAUGGUUACAGGGCAAAAUAUUAGAUUCACAUGGACACUCUGCGAAGAAUUUUGAAGCUAUGAUUUUUAUUCUUAUUUUUUUUAAAUGGGUUUUUGCAGAAUACAGGCAAGUCAGAAUUUGGAGCGCCUUCAGUUUAAUACCACAUUGUGCCGCAACGGUCUACUGGAAGACAUGCAGCAUAAGUAAAAAGAAAAAAGAAAAAGAGGCUGAGAAGGUCCUCAAUUAAGCUUGAGUAAUAGUCCUUGUUCCUACAGAGCAGAGAAUAUAUGCUUCUGACCCGAGUGACGUCACGGACGCUGUGAUAGUGAGAUUACAAUUUCAGCAUCACGGCACCCUCAUUCUGGUCAAUGAUGACUUCAAUCUUGCUCCUUUCUCUCAUCUACGAACAACUUCACACAACAAGAAGAGUGAGCAGCAAGAGGGAAUAAGACUGGAUCUCUUGUAUGCCAAAUGCAAAGGAAGAGGCCUCUGUGCGCUGUGCAAACGGACGUGUGACCCUAAUCAGGUAAGUCCUCACGACCCGAAAGUGAGGCAGGAGCCAGCUGUGUAAAGGACUUAUCUUAGAAGUUGACCUCUGUUACUCGUCUAUGGGGCUACUGAGUGGAAGCAGGCGCCGUCAAUAGUCACAUUACAAAGUCGAUAUAGGUCAUAGAGGAAGGAGUGAAAAGAAACACACGCCGCUAAAUGAAUUUCAAUGGGUCAAUGUAUGCAUGCAUGAAUCUCAUUUGGAACAAAACAUGAGUCGUUUUAAAACAUUACGUUUUUCGAAGGAUAAUUAUGCUCAGUUUUGACUGACACUGUUAGAGAAGUAUUGAGUCGGUACACCAAGUAUAUAAAAUGAGUCUUCAAAAUCGGGGAAAAUCAAGCCAUUCGCUCUGCUCUCACACUCUGCGGGCGGGUCCGCUGAAUGUGUUAAAACAACACCCUGAUCAACCGUCAAUCGAAUACCACUGCGACAACUUAGUUGCUGAUGUACUUUCAGCCUUUCAUUGAACAGGAUGAUCGGUCAAACACACAAGUGCAAAAUGAGAACACUCACAAAGAGCUGCUGUAGGCCACAACUCACGCCCAGACGCUCACAUGCGGACAAAACCGCCGACCCGAUUGCAGCGCCUGACGUCACUCACUAGGCCACACCCACUACAGCUACACAUCAAUACACAAACACCAUAGUAUGUACAGCAAUUACACUUUGUUAAACCAGUUUAUAUCUUGACAUUAAUUUUUAUUAUGUUUAAAUACAAUAAAGGGCUAUUUUUCUUGACAAAAAAAAAAAAAGUGAAAAAUACAAUAAUGGUGUUGAUUUGAGUUGGCUGGAACGGAUUAAUGGAAUUUCGGUUAAUUAAAACGGGGAAAAUUGGUUUGUUUUAUGAAUAGAUUGAGCUUGGUCAUGGAACUUAAUUCGUCAAGGUACCACUAUUCAGUCAUAUAUAUAUAUAUAUAUAUAUAUAUAUAUAUAUAUAUAUAUAAAGUUGGCACAUUGUGUUAAACAAAUUAAAAAACAAUGAUUUGCAAAUCAUGUUCAACUUAUAUUUAAUUGAGCUUUUUUUGGAAUGUGUUGCAGCCAUACAUUUCUAAGUUAAUGAUUAUUUGCUAAAAACAAUCAAAUGUGUCAGUUUCAACAUUAAAUGUCUCGUCUUUGUCGUGUAUUCAAUUAAAUAUAGGUUGAACAUGAUUUGCAAAUCAUUGUAUUCUGUUUUUAUUUAUGUUUAACACAACGUCCCAAGAUCAUUGGAAUUGCGGUUGUACAUGUAUAUAACACUUGUGACUGUUAAGCCUUUCAAUUUUAUUUAAAACAAACUUUCACAAAUAAAGGUUGCAGAAUAUUUCUAGUAUCUGCAGCAGUGGCUCUCUCUUUUCUGACUCAGUGUUGGGAGCUGAAAUAGCUUUUGCUUCAGUUUCCCUUCACACUGUACAUAUUGACCCAUGCAGAGCGGCAACAUUCAUGGAAAGCGUGGCACAUGUGCGAUCGACCGGCAAGCGGCAGCUGCGUGUGUGCGUUUGUGCGUGCGUGUCAGCGCAUGCACACGUUACCACUGCAUGAGUCGGCUCGCCACCAAGUUUGCAUAGCAAAACGUUAUCCUUUAAGGUCGGCAAUGAAGUUCCCAUUCAUAAAUCAAAUGCAAAGUUAAGCCUUACAAUAACAAU